AGCUCCAAUAGCGUAUAUUAAAGUUGUUGCAGUUAAAAAGCUCGUAGUUGAACUUCUGUUCGAUUGUCUCCGCUUUUAGCGUGACGAUAAAUUGAACAUCCCCUUUGAAAACCUGGCACCGUCUUAAGUGACGGGUUAGGGUUUCUUGGAAUUUACUUUGAAAAAUUAGAGUGUUUCAAGCAGGCGAUUCGCUGGAAUACAUUAGCAUGGAAUAAUAGAAGAUGACCUCUGAGAUCAUUUUGUUGGUACAUUGGCGGGAGGUAAUGAUUAACAGGGACAGUUGGGGGCAUUAGUAUUUAAUUGUCAGAGGUGAAAUUCAUUGAUUAAUUAAAGACUAACUUAUGCGAAAGCAUUUGCCAAGGAUGUUUUCA
This 371-nucleotide ribosomal RNA is filed under the name uncultured eukaryote. RNAcentral's name for it is "SSU rRNA". It matches the Rfam family "Eukaryotic small subunit ribosomal RNA", at positions 587 to 972 of the family's 1831-position model. The record is from RNAcentral.